GACGAACGCUGGCGGCGUGCUUAACACAUGCAAGUCGAACGGGCCUUGUCCCCUUUUUUUUUGGGGGUGGGGUUAGUGGCGAACGGGUGAGUAACACGUGAGUAACCUGCCCCUCACUUCUGGAUAACCGCUUGAAAGGGUGGCUAAUACGGGGUUUUCUGGCCUGCUCGCAUGGGUGGGUUUGGAAAGAUUCGACCGGUUUUGGUUGUUUUGGUGGGGGUUGGGCUCGCGGCCUAUCAGCUUGUUGGCGUGGUGAUGGCCUGCCAAGGCGUUGACGGGUAGCCGGCCUGAGAGGGUGGGCGGUCACAGUGGGACUGAGACACGGCCCAGACUCCUACGGGAGGCAGCAGUGGGGAAUAUUGCACAAUGGGCGCUAGCCUGAUGCAGCGACGCCGCGUGAGGGAUGGAGGCCUUCGGGUUGUGAACCUCUUUCGCCAGUGAAGAAGGUCCUGCUCUUUGUGGUGGGGUUGACGGUAGCUGGGUUAAUGAAGCGCCGGCUAACUACGUG
RNAcentral lists this ribosomal RNA (508 nucleotides) under uncultured bacterium. RNAcentral describes it as "partial 16S ribosomal RNA". It matches the Rfam family "Bacterial small subunit ribosomal RNA", at positions 28 to 507 of the family's 1533-position model. The record is from RNAcentral.